RNAcentral lists this RNase P RNA (400 nucleotides) under Myxococcota bacterium. Its description in RNAcentral is "RNase P RNA component class A". It matches the Rfam family "Bacterial RNase P class A". Rfam says of the family: Ribonuclease P (RNase P) is a ubiquitous endoribonuclease, found in archaea, bacteria and eukarya as well as chloroplasts and mitochondria. Its best characterised activity is the generation of mature 5'-ends of tRNAs by cleaving the 5'-leader elements of precursor-tRNAs. Cellular RNase Ps are ribonucleoproteins. The record is from RNAcentral. Lineage: Bacteria; Pseudomonadati; Myxococcota.
GGAGUGGCUCGAGUGAUCGCCGGUGCGCUCUCUCCGGAGGGCGCACGGGAGGAAAGUCCGAGCUCCACAGGGCGGGAUGCCAGUCAACGGCUGGUGGGGGCGACCCCGAGGAAAGUGCAACAGAGAGCAGUCCGCCGCCCCCUCUCUCCUUCGGGGGAGAGGCAUCGCGGUAAGGGUGAAACGGUGAGGUAAGAGCUCACCGGGCCGCUGGUAACAGGGGCUGCACGGCAAACCCCAUCCGGAGCAAGACCGAAUAGGGGAGCGUUCGAGGACGGCCCGUCCGAGCUCCCGGGUGUGUCGCAGGAGGCGCGCGGCGACGCGCGUCCUAGAGGAAUGAUCGCUGCUCCGCUCGCGGCGACGCGAGCAGAGGACAGAACUCGGCUUAUGAGCCACUCCGACC